This 301-nucleotide ribosomal RNA is filed under the name uncultured bacterium. Its description in RNAcentral is "partial 16S ribosomal RNA". It matches the Rfam family "Bacterial small subunit ribosomal RNA", at positions 509 to 807 of the family's 1533-position model. The record is from RNAcentral.
CAGUCGCCGCGGUAAUACGGAGGGUGCGAGCGUUAAUCGGAUUUACUGGGCGUAAAGCGUGCGUAGGCGGCUUUUUAAGUCGGAUGUGAAAUCCCUGAGCUUAACUUAGGAAUUGCAUUCGAUACUGGGAAGCUAGAGUAUGGGAGAGGAUGGUAGAAUUCCAGGUGUAGCGGUGAAAUGCGUAGAGAUCUGGAGGAAUACCGAUGGCGAAGGCAGCCAUCUGGCCUAAUACUGACGCUGAGGUACGAAAGCAUGGGGAGCAAACAGGAUUAGAUACCCCUGUAGUCCCUGUCUCUUAUAC